RNAcentral lists this ribosomal RNA (301 nucleotides) under uncultured bacterium. Its description in RNAcentral is "partial 16S ribosomal RNA". It matches the Rfam family "Bacterial small subunit ribosomal RNA", at positions 509 to 807 of the family's 1533-position model. The record is from RNAcentral.
CAGUCGCCACGGUAAUACGUAGGUGGCAAGCGUUGUCCGGAAUUAUUGGGCGUAAAGAGCUCGCAGGCGGUUUCUUAAGUCUGAUGUGAAAGCCCCCGGCUCAACCGGGGAGGGUCAUUGGAAACUGGGAAACUUGAGUGCAGAAGAGGAGAGUGGAAUUCCACGUGUAGCGGUGAAAUGCGUAGAGAUGUGGAGGAACACCAGUGGCGAAGGCGACUCUCUGGUCUGUAACUGACGCUGAGGAGCGAAAGCGUGGGGAGCGAACAGGAUUAGAUACCCCGGUAGUCCCUGUCUCUUAUAC